ACCAAGAUAAGCCACAAAUGCAAUACUCCAUAAAUUACUUUUAAAAAUCUUUUUAAUGAAGAAAUAAUUCCAUUCCAAAAUAUAGACACACAAUUAAAUAGUUUAAUCACUUCAAAAUAUAACAUGUCCCCAGUAGGUUCCAACACACACACACAAAACAAUACUUAACAGCAAUACAAAAAAACCCAUACAAUAGCAGUUCUGUUACAAUACCAAUGAAUAUUGUGACAUCUUUUGUGUCUCUGUAUCUGUCUCAAGUGGUGUCAAGUACAGUAGUUUUAAAAAUGUCUUACAGUUAGUAGCCUCAAGAUGUAACUCUUCAUACAUUUUUCUUUUGGUUCAAAGGUAAAAAUGCCCUUUGUCUUCAGGACACAGUGGACUGCUUGUUGUUCACAGCUCCGUCUGCUGAAUUGAACCAAUGUGAUUACAGCAACCUGAGGUUGCAAUAUUUACAAGGUCUAUCUACAGUAAUUGCCAAGAACCAAUAAGGAUGGGAGAAGAUGACCAAAAGUAAAGGCAGACACAUUUAUGAUAAAUUAUGGACAUUCAAGAACCCUAUCCAUCUUCACAUCCCUGUCUCCUGAUUCCAAACCACUGAUUUCCCUCCAGUGACAGUAAACCACUCGGAGUUUUGACUGCUGUGGUGAGCCAUUUGUAGUUAAGAAAAGGCCUACACCCGGGACCUCUUCUGUAACUGUUUCAAUGACCGCAAACCACAACCAAAAUAAUAUGCAACAAGCAGACAAAGAUCAGCUGGGCUAAAAUGCAGCCAGCUGAACAGUUGGAAAAUGCUUAAAAUAGAUAUUUGGAGAGCCGAGUAAGAGGUGCUUCAUCUCAGAGCUUGAAGUACCUUGCUUACCCCAGCCUGAGAGAAAAGCACUUGAUCUGUCAACUUUUUUCAUUACUCCUAGUCCAGAAGCCCUUGCAAUGGAUUUAUUUAUUCUAUUGCAUCUAUUUUAAGCAUAGCGAUAAUGAGCACACAGACAUUAGGAUGAUGGAAGGGAGAUAUUACUUUGGGUACAGUUAAACAUGACAUGAGUUGAAUUAGUCAGCCUUUGCAUGUAGCUGUGUUCUAGCUUUUUUUUUUCAUCUUUGUUCAGGAAAUGCUUGACUGGAAUCCUGAGCUGACAGCCACAUCUAUGACUUCACUGGAGGAGUUUUAAUGUGGAGUGCUAGGCACUAGUGGAGGCUCACUCAUUCCUGAGAGGAGGUUGUAGGAGAGGGCAUCAGAGGGUAUGGUGCCUGCCUUGCCAGGAUGGCACAUACCCCAGAAGCAAGGACCAGUGAUUGCAAGAAUGAAAAGCUUAUGUGAAGAUAUCUGGAUGCUUUAGUAUCAAUUUGGAUGUCUGAGACCAUGUCUAGAUAUGCAUGGAGAUGUGGACAAGAGACCUGCAUAAGUAAUAAUACAAUAUGAAAGUGAAAAAUGGUAGCUCUUUCAUACAGAUAUUCAUUCCCUAACACAUAGUGCCCAGGGAAACAGUCAAGAGCCUAGAGAAUGCAUGCAAAUGGCAAGUGAAAUUACUGGGUUGAGCUACAUAGCAAUCUAAUGUAAAUACGGCAGCAUACAUCCUAAGAUGUAUGUAACCAUGAAACACAGGACAGACCAACACAUUUUAACCUGCU
Molecule: long non-coding RNA, 1623 nt
Organism: Dromaius novaehollandiae (emu)
Lineage: Eukaryota; Metazoa; Chordata; Aves; Casuariiformes; Dromaiidae
Source: Ensembl